Molecule: ribosomal RNA, 460 nt
Filed under: uncultured bacterium
Lineage: Bacteria
Description: partial 16S ribosomal RNA
Rfam family: Bacterial small subunit ribosomal RNA
Source: RNAcentral
CCUACGGGUGGCAGCAGUGAGGAAUAUUGGUCAAUGGGCGGAAGCCUGAACCAGCCAAGUAGCGUGCAGGAUGAAGGCUCUACGGGUUGUAAACUUCUUUUAUAGGGGAAUAAAGCUCCUUACGUCUAGAUCUUGGCGUGUACCCUAUGAAUAAGGACGGGCUAAUUCCGUGCCAUCAGCGGCGGUAAUACGAAGGGUCCGGGCGUUGUCCGGAUUUAUUGGGUUUAAAGGGAGCGUAGGUGGUAUGUGAAGUGUGCUGUGAAAUGUCCGGGCGCAACCCUGUACUUGCUGCGGAAACUGGCGUACUUGAGUGUGCGAUAGGCAGGCGGAAUGCGUGGUGUAGCGGUGAAAUGCUUAGAUAUGACGAAGAACCCCGAUUGCGAAGGCAGCUUGCUGGAGCGGAACUGACGCUGAGGCUCGAAAGCGUGGGUAUCAAACAGGAUUAGAUACCCUUGUAGUC